UGCCAGCAGCCGCGGUAAUACGGAGGGUCCAAGCGUUAAUCGGAAUUACUGGGCGUAAAGCGCGCGUAGAUGGUUUAUUCAGUUGGGUGUGAAAUCCCUGGGCUCAACCCAGGAACUGCAUUCAAAACUUAUAAACUAGAGUACGAAAGAGGAGAGUAGGAUUCAUGGUGUAGCGGUGAAAUGCGUAGAGAUCAUGAGGAAUACCAGUGGCGAAGGCGACUCUCUGGUUCGAGACUGACAUUGAGGUGCGAAAGCGUGGGUAGCAAACAGGAUUAGAUA
RNAcentral lists this ribosomal RNA (279 nucleotides) under uncultured bacterium. RNAcentral describes it as "partial 16S ribosomal RNA". It matches the Rfam family "Bacterial small subunit ribosomal RNA", at positions 506 to 784 of the family's 1533-position model. The record is from RNAcentral.